Non-coding RNA from Macaca mulatta (Rhesus monkey), 1401 nucleotides. The record is from RefSeq and is a predicted model, not a curated record. NCBI's taxonomy places the organism in Eukaryota, Metazoa, Chordata, Mammalia, Primates, Cercopithecidae.
AUUCUGCCUACUGUAGGUACUUCAUCAAAGUGGAAUCAUACAGUGUCUUUGGUGACUGGCUGUUUUGCAGAACAUCCCCAAGGUUCAUCCAUGUCAUAGCAGGUGUCCGCACUUCGUUCCUUGUUAAAGCUGAAUAAUCCUCCAUUACCUGGAUGCACCAUUUUCUUUAUUCCUUCAUUCAUCAAUGGAGACGUGGGUUACUUCCACCUUUUGGCUAUUGUCAAUAAUGCUGCAGCGAUUCCCAGGCUGGCUGAGUAAUUGAUAGUCUACAAAACUGCUUGGCACAGCUGUCCCCAAUCUAUAGGGAGUGGUUGUGGGUUCACAGAAAACCCACAAGACUUUGGAGCCAAAAUACAUCUGGUUUCCAAUGCUUGACUGGCCAGCUACAACUUUAGGCAAAUUUAAUCCUCCUGAACCUCAUGCUGCCCAUCACCGAAAUGGGAAUUACAGUAUCCACACCACCUCCUACUGGUCGUUGUCCCAGCAUCCACACCACCUCCUACAUCCUAAGGGAAUCUUGAUUUCUUUUUUCAACUUUCUUCUGCUCCCAGGUGAUCUCAAGGGGCUGAGAUAUCCAUUGUUCCAGGGAUGGGGCAAGCCCCGCCCCCUUUGCAAUGAUUGGUUCAGACGCUCAGGCUUCAGCCAAUCGGUUGCUGGCAGUGCCUUAGCAACUGUGGCUAGUGUUAGGCCCUUGAUCUGAGCUGCCCAAUCAGGUAGAGGAUGAGCUUUUUUUCCAACUUGGAGAAAUGACGCUCCUCGGAGCUGGGAAAUAAACACGAGUUUCUUCAGCUGCUGAUGCUGCGCCAUCCUCUAAACACGAGGGAAGGAGCAUGAGAACGAACCCCAGGCACAGAGGAAAGGCAGCCAUAAAAAGGCAUGACCAGACACCAAAACCAUCACAGAGGAAGCUUGAAAAGAAAGACUUCAUGAAGACUUCGGUCAAGACACAACCGGGGAACAGAAACAUCUCAGCAGAAUAUUCAGACAGUGCUGAUCAAUAAGGGGAACUACGGGGUCGAUAGCUGUCGAGACCCACUCCGUGUGCAGCUCACGUGCUUCUCACAACUCCAGGAAGCGGAUGUUGCUCUUAUUCGUCACUUACAGAAAGCUGAGGUCAGCAGGGUGAAAUCACCUGCCCCCAGGUCCGACAGUGUUUCCCGUAUGGGGCAGAGUGGGGAUGUGAAUCCAGGCUGCCCAACUCCGGGCCCAGGUUCUCUUUCCAUCCGGGGAGCCAACAGCUGACACCGAUGAGCCAGAGUCCUCCCGAGCCGCUGCUUGGCUCCGGAGCGCAGCCCCUGCUUCUCCCACUGCCUCCCAUGGGUCUGCUCAGCCCCCAGUGCUGCCUCAGACCCAAUGGGUUACAAACUGACCUUGGCCUUCACAAUGGGAAGGUCAAACUUC